Molecule: microRNA precursor, 67 nt
Filed under: Rhodnius prolixus
Lineage: Eukaryota; Metazoa; Arthropoda; Insecta; Hemiptera; Reduviidae
Description: mir-2 microRNA precursor family
Rfam family: mir-2 microRNA precursor family
About the family: The miRNAs are transcribed as ~70nt precursors (modelled here) and subsequently processed by the Dicer enzyme to give a ~22nt product. In this case the mature sequence comes from the 3' arm of the precursor. The extents of the hairpin precursors are not generally known and are estimated based on hairpin prediction.
Source: Rfam by way of RNAcentral
UCAUUCGUCAAAGUGGCUGUGACUGUGUAGUCUUGAGUCAUAUCACAGCCAGCUUUGAUGAGCGACU